Molecule: ribosomal RNA, 598 nt
Filed under: uncultured fungus
Lineage: Eukaryota; Fungi
Description: eukaryotic LSU rRNA
Rfam family: 5.8S ribosomal RNA (bases 238-391)
Source: RNAcentral
CAUUAUUGAAGUUGAUUCGGGUUGUCGCUGGCUCUCAGGAGCAUGUGCACGCUCGUUCAUAUUCAUUCUCUCUUGUGCACCUUUAGCUAGACUAUGAAUACCCCUCGAGUGAAAAUCUCGGAUUGAGGGCUGCACCUAACCGUGCUUCCCCUGCAUUUUCAUAGUCUAUGUCUUCAUAUACCCUUUGUAUGUCUUUGAAUGUCUUUUUGUGGGUCUUUGACCUAUAAAAUCUAGUACAACUUUCAACAACGGAUCUCUUGGCUCUCGCAUCGAUGAAGAACGCAGCGAAAUGCGAUAAGUAAUGUGAAUUGCAGAAUUCAGUGAAUCAUCGAAUCUUUGAACGCACCUUGCACCCUUUGGUAUUCCGAAGGGUAUGCCUGUUUGAGUGUCAUUAUAUUCUCAACCAUUGAACUUGUUUCUGUGGCUUGGAUGUGGGGGUUGCGGGCUUCGCAAGAGGUCGGCUCUCCUUAAAUGCAUUAGUGGAAACCGCUUGCAGGAUUCAUUCACUUUUUGGCGUGAUAGUAUCGUCGUCAAAGGUAGUGUCUCCGAGGUAUCUGCUUUCUAACCGUCCUUUACGGGACUCUUAAUGACUUGUUUG